GAUGAACGCUGGCGGCGUGCCUAAUACAUGCAAGUCGAGCGAACGGACGAGAAGCUUGCUUCUCUGAUGUUAGCGGCGGACGGGUGAGUAACACGUGGAUAACCUACCUAUAAGACUGGGUUAACUUCGGAAAACCGGAGCUAAUACCGGAUAAUAUUUUGAACCGCAUGGUUCAAAAGUGAAAGACGGUCUUGCUGUCACUUAUAGAUGGAUCCGCGCUGCAUUAGCUAGUUGGUAAGGUAACGGCUUACCAAGGCAACGAUGCAUAGCCGACCUGAGAGGGUGAUCGGCCACACUGGAACUGAGACACGGUCCAGACUCCUACGGGAGGCAGCAGUAGGGAAUCUUCCGCAAUGGGCGAAAGCCUGACGGAGCAACGCCGCGUGAGUGAUGAAGGUCUUCGGAUCGUAAAACUCUGUUAUUAGGGAAGAACAUAUGUGUAAGUAACUGUGCACAUCUUGACGGUACCUAAUCAGAAAGCCACGGCUAACUACGUG
This 497-nucleotide ribosomal RNA is filed under the name uncultured bacterium. Its description in RNAcentral is "partial 16S ribosomal RNA". It matches the Rfam family "Bacterial small subunit ribosomal RNA", at positions 28 to 507 of the family's 1533-position model. The record is from RNAcentral.